Molecule: ribosomal RNA, 274 nt
Filed under: uncultured bacterium
Lineage: Bacteria
Description: partial 16S ribosomal RNA
Rfam family: Bacterial small subunit ribosomal RNA
Source: RNAcentral
AUACGGAGGGUGCGAGCGUUACUCGGAAUCACUGGGCGUAAAGCGCGCGCAGGCGGCUAUUUAAGUUGGAUGUGAAAGCCUACGGCUCAACCGUAGAACUGCAUCCAAAACUAUUUAGCUAGAGUGUGGGAGAGGAAGAUGGAAUUAGUUGUGUAGGGGUAAAAUCCGUAGAGAUAACUAGGAAUACCAAAAGCGAAGGCAAUCUUCUGGAACACUACUGACGCUGAGGCGCGAAAGCGUGGGGAGCAAACGGGAUUAGAUACCCCAGUAGUCC